UACAGAGGGUGCGAGCGUUGUCCGGAAUCACUGGGCGUAAAGGGCGCGUAGGUGGCGACCCAAGUCGAUGGUGAAAGCUCGCCGCUCAACGGCGAGUCGGCCACCGAUACUGGGUUGCUGGAGCACUGUAGAGGCAGAUGGAAUUCCGGGUGUAGCGGUGGAAUGCGUAGAGAUCCGGAAGAACACCGGUGGCGAAGGCGGUCUGCUGGGCAGUUGCUGACACUGAGGCGCGACAGCGUGGGGAGCGAUCCGG
RNAcentral lists this ribosomal RNA (253 nucleotides) under uncultured bacterium. RNAcentral's name for it is "partial 16S ribosomal RNA". It matches the Rfam family "Bacterial small subunit ribosomal RNA", at positions 524 to 776 of the family's 1533-position model. The record is from RNAcentral.